ACGGAAGGCAGCAGUGAGGAAUAUUGGUCAAUGGGCGUAAGCCUGAACCAGCCAAGUAGCGUGAGGGAUGACUGCCCUACGGGUUGUAAACCUCUUUUGUUUGGGAAUAAAUGAGACUACGUGUAGUCUUUUGCAUGUACCUUUCGAAUAAGCAUCGGCUAAUUCCGUGCCAGCAGCCGCGGUAAUACGGAAGAUGCGAGCGUUAUCCGGAUUUAUUGGGUUUAAAGGGAGCGUAGGCGGCCUUUUAAGUCUGCGGUCAAAUGUCAGGGCCCAACCUUGGCAUGCCGUGGAUACUGAUGGGCUUGAAUACACACAAGGAAGGUGGAAUUCGUCGUGUAGCGGUGAAAUGCUUAGAUAUGACGAAGAACUCCGAUUGCGAAGGCAGCCUUCUGGGGUGUUACUGACGCUGAGGCUCGAAAGCGCGGGUAUCAAACAGGAUUAGAUACCCUGGUA
This 453-nucleotide ribosomal RNA is filed under the name uncultured Prevotellaceae bacterium. Its description in RNAcentral is "partial 16S ribosomal RNA". It matches the Rfam family "Bacterial small subunit ribosomal RNA", at positions 341 to 792 of the family's 1533-position model. The record is from RNAcentral. Lineage: Bacteria; Pseudomonadati; Bacteroidota; Bacteroidia; Bacteroidales; Prevotellaceae.